This 495-nucleotide ribosomal RNA is filed under the name uncultured bacterium. Its description in RNAcentral is "partial 16S ribosomal RNA". It matches the Rfam family "Bacterial small subunit ribosomal RNA", at positions 28 to 507 of the family's 1533-position model. The record is from RNAcentral.
GACGAACGCUGGCGGCGUGCCUAAUACAUGCAAGUAGAACGCUGAAGGAGGAGCUUGCUUCUCUGGAUGAGUUGCGAACGGGUGAGUAACGCGUAGGUAACCUGCCUGGUAGCGGGGGAUAACUAUUGGAAACGAUAGCUAAUACCGCAUAAUAGUAGAUGUUGCAUGACAUUUACUUAAAAGGUGCAAUUGCAUCACUACCAGAUGGACCUGCGUUGUAUUAGCUAGUUGGUGGGGUAACGGCUCACCAAGGCGACGAUACAUAGCCGACCUGAGAGGGUGAUCGGCCACACUGGGAAUGGGACACGGCCCAGACUCCUACGGGAGGCAGCAGUAGGGAAUCUUCGGCAAUGGACGAAAGUCUGACCGAGCAACGCCGCGUGAGUGAAGAAGGGUUUCGGAUCGUAAAGCUCUGUUGUAAGAGAAGAACGAGUGUGAGAGUGGAAAGUUCACACUGUGACGGUAGCUUACCAGAAAGGGACGGCUAACUACGUG